GGAAAUAUUUUCUGUAUUUUCUUAUCAUCUGCUUCUGACUGUGAUCUCUGUAUGAACACAAGCAGUUAAGUAAUUUGACUUCUCUGCUUUCAAUAGACUAUUUAUAAAGACACUCAUUAUCAUUCAUUAUCUACUUUUAAAUAUAAUUUUGAUAAUACAAGAAAACUUGCUUUAAUUAUUUCCUUUUCUAGGGAUUUUCUGCCCAGCUAAGAUCCAGAUGGAAUUUCACAUCAAAGAGACACUGAAGGAGACAAAGGAUGGAUGUUCUGCCCAUGCCUAUGUAAAAUAACAGUGAGUAUCAGAAAUAUGAGAAGGCUAUGCUUAUUGUACAUGAAUAAUUUGACAGCUACUGAGGAUGCCAUAACCAACAUUGUGAGAUAAAUCCCUGAUGAGCUAAGCGACCUUGAAGAAAUCUCACUAAGCAACUGCUGUAUCUCCAGAGAUGCUGUGGAAAUUCUGAGUAAAAAUAAUAAUAGUAAGUUUACAAAUGGAAUAUGUGUGUUUUGAAAAUCAAUACAUCAUUUUGUAACAGAAGGAAAAAACCCAUAUAAUUCUAUGGUUCUAAGU
This 567-nucleotide long non-coding RNA is filed under the name Cyanistes caeruleus (blue tit). Its description in RNAcentral is "lncRNA (ENSCCEG00000008018.1)". Lineage: Eukaryota; Metazoa; Chordata; Aves; Passeriformes; Paridae. The record is from RNAcentral.